RNAcentral lists this ribosomal RNA (373 nucleotides) under uncultured organism. RNAcentral describes it as "partial 16S ribosomal RNA". It matches the Rfam family "Bacterial small subunit ribosomal RNA", at positions 527 to 896 of the family's 1533-position model. The record is from RNAcentral.
GUAGGUGGCAAGCGUUGUCCGGAAUUAUUGGGCGUAAAGCGCGCGCAGGUGGUUCUUUAAGUCUGAUGUGAAAGCCCCCGGCUCAACCGGGGAGGGUCAUUGGAAACUGGGGAACUUGAGUGCAGGAGAGGAAAGUGGAAUUCCACGUGUAGCGGUGAAAUGCGUAGAUAUGUGGAGGAACACCAGUGGCGAAGGCGACUUUCUGGCCUGUAACUGACACUGAGGCGCGAAAGCGUGGGGAGCAAACAGGGAUUAGAUACCCUGGUAGUCCACGCUGUAAACGAUGAGUGCUAAGUGUUGGGGGGGUUUCCGCCCCCUCAGUGCUGCAGCUAACGCAUUAAGCACUCCGCCUGGGAGUACGGUCGCAAGACUG